RNAcentral lists this transfer RNA (71 nucleotides) under Tropiocolotes nubicus. RNAcentral's name for it is "tRNA-Asn". Lineage: Eukaryota; Metazoa; Chordata; Lepidosauria; Squamata; Gekkonidae. The record is from RNAcentral.
UAGGCUGAAGUCCGCGGAUGGGUGUUUGGUUGUUAACUAAANUUUUUCGGGAUCGAGGCCCGACAGUCUAG